CCCAUUUGCCCAAUGGAGAUAACAGCCUCUGCACUACUUCCAAAUGGAGAAUGAUGAACAAGAACUGGAAAGUAUAUGGCAACAGACCUAUGAUAUCACUGGUGUAUCAAGAAAUGUCCUCUCCUUAUGCAGAGCCACAGACUUGCAGGAUUCCAAAUGUAUACACAAAAAGAAUCCUCCCCAUGAUGUGCCUAACAAAAGAUCAUACACCCUCUACUUGAAGACCUCUACGGAUAUAUGAGGAGCCCCAUUACCUCUCAAGAUGGCUGAUUCCAUUUUUGUUUAACUUAAACUGUUUUUCCCUCUGCUAGUCCCCCCUAUUGUUUCUGCCCUUUGGCACCAAAUAGAAUAAAUCUAUUCUUUCUUCCUUCUGAGAGCCCUUC
Molecule: long non-coding RNA, 383 nt
Filed under: Monodelphis domestica (gray short-tailed opossum)
Lineage: Eukaryota; Metazoa; Chordata; Mammalia; Didelphimorphia; Didelphidae
Description: lncRNA (ENSMODG00000035187.2)
Source: RNAcentral